This 253-nucleotide ribosomal RNA is filed under the name uncultured bacterium. Its description in RNAcentral is "partial 16S ribosomal RNA". It matches the Rfam family "Bacterial small subunit ribosomal RNA", at positions 524 to 776 of the family's 1533-position model. The record is from RNAcentral.
UACGUAGGGCGCAAGCGUUGUCCGGAAUUAUUGGGCGUAAAGAGCUCGUAGGUGGCUUGUCGCGUCUGCCGUGAAAGCCCAUGGCUUAACUGUGGGUCUGCGGUGGAUACGGGCUGGCUAGAGGUAGGUAGGGGCAAGCGGAAUUCCUGGUGUAGCGGUGAAAUGCGCAGAUAUCAGGAAGAACACCCGUGGCGAAGGCGGCUCUCUGGGACGGUACUGACGCUGAGACGCGAAAGCGUGGGGAGCGAACAGG